This 991-nucleotide ribosomal RNA is filed under the name uncultured archaeon. RNAcentral's name for it is "partial 16S rRNA". It matches the Rfam family "Archaeal small subunit ribosomal RNA", at positions 1 to 963 of the family's 1478-position model. The record is from RNAcentral.
AGGCUCGGACGUGCAGCUUGCAUGCCUGCAGGUCGACGAUUUUCCGGUUGAUCCCGCCGGAGGUUACUGCUAUCGGGGUCCGACUAAGCCAUGCGAGUUGAGAGGGGUAAGCCCUCGGCAUACUGCUCAGUAACACGCGGAUAACCUGCCCUUGGGUCCGGGAUAACCCCGGGAAACUGGGACUAAUACCGGAUAGAUCAGAGAAACUGGAAUGUUCUCUGGUCUAAAACUCCGGUGCCCAAGGAUGGGUCUGCGGCCUAUCAGGUAGUAGUGGGUGUAACGUACCUACUAGCCAGCGACGGGUAAGGGUUGUGAGAGCAAGAUCCCUGAGAUGGAUUCUGAGACAUGAAUCCAGGCCCUACGGGGUGCAGCAGGCGCGAAAACUUUACACUGCGGGAAACCGCGAUAAGGGGACCCCGAGUGCCAGCACCUAGUGCUGGCUGUCCUACUGUCUAAAUAACAGUGGUUAGCAAGGGCCGGGCAAGACCGGUGCCAGCCGCCGCGGUAACACCGGCGGCCCGAGUGGUAACCGUUUUUAUUGGGUUUAAAGGGUCCGUAGCCGGCUUACUAAGUCUCUUGGGAAAUCUGGCGGCUCAAUCGUCAGGCGUCCAAGAGAUACUGGUAGGCUUGGGACCGGGAGAGGUGGGAGGUACUCCAGGGGUAGGGGUGAAAUCUCGUAAUCCUUGGGGGACCACCGAUGGCGAAGGCAUCCCACCAGAACGGGUCCGACGGUGAGGGACGAAAGCUGGGGGCACGAACCGGAUUAGAUACCCGGGUAGUCCCAGCUGUAAACGAUGCUCGCUAGGUGUCAGGUGCGGUGCGACCGCAUCUGGUGCCGCAGUGAAAACUUGAAGCGAGUCACCUGGGAAGUACGGUCGCAAGGCUGAAACUUAAAGGAAUUGGCGGGGGAGCACUACAACGGGUGGAGCCUGCGGUUCAAAUGGAGUCAACGCCGGGAAUCUCUAGAGGAUCCCCGGGUACCGAGCUCGAA